UACCAGCACCCCGAGUGGUCGGGACGUUUAUUGGGCCUAAAGCAUCCGUAGCCGGUUCUACAAGUCUUCCGUUAAAUCCAACUGCUUAACAGGUGGGCUGCGGAAGAUACUAUAGAGCUAGGAGGCGGGAGAGGCAAGCGGUACUCGAUGGGUAGGGGUAAAAUCCGUUGAUCCAUUGAAGACCACCAGUGGCGAAGGCGGCUUGCCAGAACGCGCUCGACGGUGAGGGAUGAAAGCCGGGGGAGCAAACCGG
Molecule: ribosomal RNA, 253 nt
Filed under: uncultured bacterium
Lineage: Bacteria
Description: partial 16S ribosomal RNA
Rfam family: Archaeal small subunit ribosomal RNA
Source: RNAcentral